This 465-nucleotide ribosomal RNA is filed under the name uncultured bacterium. RNAcentral's name for it is "partial 16S ribosomal RNA". It matches the Rfam family "Bacterial small subunit ribosomal RNA", at positions 338 to 795 of the family's 1533-position model. The record is from RNAcentral.
CCUACGGGGGGCAGCAGUGGGGAAUAUUGCGCAAUGGGCGAAAGCCUGACGCAGCGACGCCGCGUGAGGGAUGAAGGUCUUCGGAUCGUAAACCUCUGUCAGCAGGGAAGAACGGUCACUGUGCUAAUCAGCAGUGAAUUGACGGUACCUGCAAAGGAAGCACCGGCUAACUCCGUGCCAGCAGCCGCGGUAAUACGGAGGGUGCGAGCGUUAAUCGGAAUUACUGGGCGUAAAGCGCUCGUAGGCGGUAUGUCAAGUCAAGGGUGAAAUCCCCGCGCUCAACGUGGGAACUGCAUUUGAAACUGGCAAACUGGAGUGUGGGAGAGGAUAGUGGAAUUCCAGGUGUAGGAGUGAAAUGCGUAGAUAUCUGGAGGAACAUCAGUGGCGAAGGCGACUAUCUGGCACAUAACUGACGCUGAGGAGCGAAAGCGUGGGUAGCAAACAGGAUUAGAUACCCUUGUAGUC